This 246-nucleotide ribosomal RNA is filed under the name uncultured bacterium. RNAcentral describes it as "partial 16S ribosomal RNA". It matches the Rfam family "Bacterial small subunit ribosomal RNA", at positions 90 to 339 of the family's 1533-position model. The record is from RNAcentral.
GUCGAGUGGCGGACGGGUGAGUAACGCGUAGGAAUCUACCUGAUAGUGGGGGAUAGCCCGAAGAAAUUCGGAUUAAUACCGCAUAAUCUAUUCGUAGUAAAGUGGGGGACUUUCGAGCCUCACGCUAUCAGAUGAGCCUGCGUAAGAUUAGCUAGUUGGUAGGGUAAAGGCCUACCAAGGCGACGAUCUUUAGCUGGUCUGAGAGGAUGAUCAGCCACAUCGGGACUGAGACACGGCCCGAACUCC